ACGAAGGGUGCAAGCGUUACUCGGAAUUACUGGGCGUAAAGCGUGCGUAGGUGGUGAUUUAAGUCCAUUGUGAAAGCCCUAGGCUUAACCUGGGAACGGCAGUGGAUACUGGAUGACUAGAGUGUGGUAGAGGGUAGCGGAAUUCCUGGUGUAGCAGUGAAAUGCGUAGAGAUCAGGAGGAACAUCCGUGGCGAAGGCGGCUACCUGGACCAACACUGACACUGAGGCACGAAAGCGUGGGGAGCAAACAGG
This 252-nucleotide ribosomal RNA is filed under the name uncultured bacterium. Its description in RNAcentral is "partial 16S ribosomal RNA". It matches the Rfam family "Bacterial small subunit ribosomal RNA", at positions 525 to 776 of the family's 1533-position model. The record is from RNAcentral.